Molecule: ribosomal RNA, 654 nt
Filed under: Trichoderma gamsii
Lineage: Eukaryota; Fungi; Ascomycota; Sordariomycetes; Hypocreales; Hypocreaceae
Description: eukaryotic LSU rRNA
Rfam family: 5.8S ribosomal RNA (bases 213-366)
Source: RNAcentral
CCUUUGGUGACGCGGAGGGACAUUACCGAGUUUACAACUUCCCAAACCCAAUGUGAACCAUACCAAACUUGUUGCCUCGGCGGGGUCACGCCCCGGGUGCGUCGCAGCCCCGGAACCAGGCGCCCGCCGGAGGGACCAACCAAACUCUUUUCUGUAGUCCCCUCGCGGACGUUAUUUCUUACAGCUCUGAGCAAAAAUUCAAAAUGAAUCAAAACUUUCAACAACGGAUCUCUUGGUUCUGGCAUCGAUGAAGAACGCAGCGAAAUGCGAUAAGUAAUGUGAAUUGCAGAAUUCAGUGAAUCAUCGAAUCUUUGAACGCACAUUGCGCCCGCCAGUAUUCUGGCGGGCAUGCCUGUCCGAGCGUCAUUUCAACCCUCGAACCCCUCCGGGGGGUCGGCGUUGGGGAUCGGGAACCCCUAAGACGGGAUCCCGGCCCCGAAAUACAGUGGCGGUCUCGCCGCAGCCUCUCCUGCGCAGUAGUUUGCACAACUCGCACCGGGAGCGCGGCGCGUCCACGUCCGUAAAACACCCAACUUCUGAAAUGUUGACCUCGGAUCAGGUAGGAAUACCCGCUGAACUUAAGCAUAUCUGGGUUUUUUUUUCCCUGCAGGGAAAAAACGAAACCUGUUUUCCGGGGCCCGGGAUACCGUCCAU